ACUGAGAUCGAUUGGUGCAUAGAUAUCAGGAGAACCCACUCAAUUUAACUCUAGCACCAUUCGAAAUCAGUGCU
Molecule: microRNA precursor, 74 nt
Filed under: Drosophila melanogaster (fruit fly)
Lineage: Eukaryota; Metazoa; Arthropoda; Insecta; Diptera; Drosophilidae
Description: Dme-Mir-29-P1_pre stem-loop
Source: RNAcentral